Molecule: long non-coding RNA, 1086 nt
Organism: Homo sapiens (human)
Lineage: Eukaryota; Metazoa; Chordata; Mammalia; Primates; Hominidae
Exons: 3
Source: RefSeq, a predicted model, not a curated record
UCACGGCCUAUACAACCCUGCACACUUUAUCCCAGAGCUUAAAUCUUUUCCCUUCUUGCAGCUCUUCUUCUGUUAAGGGACCUAGAGCAGGACAUAAUCAUCUGUUCUUCUUAUGGAGGGGCUAAGGAACAAGAAAAAUGGAGUUGCAAAGGCCCAGCACCUCCCUGUGGCUUUUAAAACCAGGCAUUCAGCUCUGUGAAUAAAAGCAUUCUGCUGAUUUCUGCUGCCCUGUAUCCAGACGGAAGGAAUGGGUGAGUGAAUGACAGGCACCUGUUCUGUUUACAGUCAGUAAAGUAAACACAACACUACACGUAUGAACUCCACCGGAAAGAUGAACACUUAUGGUAUAUUUGGUGCCACUGUCCCAGGGAGAGUAGAAGUACAGGGUUUUGUUCUUCUGACUUGAGAAAUUUUUGUGCUAGAAGGGCCACUGAGGGUCAUCCAGGCCUAUCACUGCCCACCCCAAAUUUAUAGGUGAGGUCACUAGGGCCUGAGAUCUGAAGCAUGCAUGACAUCCCGAAUGAACUACAAAUCCUAGGUCAGAGUUAACAGUAGUGGUAACUGCACAGGAUGAGUUGGUGCAGGGUGACAAGCUCAUGCGUGGUAGCUAUUUUGAAUCAAUACCCCGUAACUAACCUCUGCUGUUUGAAACACCUGGCAGAGUGCUGCAACUCACCCUUGGGCAAAGCCCCACUCUCUGAGGCUGUGGUGGGGUUCAGGGAAUACUACCCCAAAAUAUGGCAGAUUGGCAUUGGAGAAAACGGCAGAAGCAGGAAGGCCUCUCUCACCUUCUCCUUGCCCUUCUUUUCCUGAAGCAGGCCAUGAAACCAAGCUGACUUUCUCCUGGAGCAAGGCAUAAGGUCCUUGUGUGAGAGGUGCCCACUCUUUACCUGGAGGGGAGGAACAUCUUUAUCUCUGAAGACACAGGGACGCAGAAGAAAAGCUGAACAAACAGGCCUUGCUGAGUUCCCCCUUGUAUAUAACUAAUUAGAUCAUACUCCCUUUGUCCAAUCACACUUCUCCACUACUGUCGACUUCUCCAUCAAACUUACAAUAAAAACACACAGGUGUCCCUAUUCCCUAUUU